GGUCCGUAGCUCAGUGGCUGAGCACUUGCCUUGCAUCCAGAAGUUCUCAGGUUCAAUCCCAGCCAGGACCG
Non-coding RNA from Podarcis lilfordi (Lilford's wall lizard), 71 nucleotides. NCBI's taxonomy places the organism in Eukaryota, Metazoa, Chordata, Lepidosauria, Squamata, Lacertidae. The record is from the annotation of a GenBank genome assembly.